UCUACAACUUGCAUGUAUCUGUAGUUUAAUUUGCCCGUUGGAUUGGAAUUUUUCAACCUUUGCUGUAGUAAGUGUCUCUGUAGUUUAUAGGUAUGCAGAUUUAUGUACUUGUUUUUAUGAUUGCGGAUGAAGACCCUGACUACAACGACUCGGACUACAAUGUAUAUGAUGAUGAUGAUUGCAUAUUUGAUUGUAAUGUGACCGAAGGCAUCGAAAUGGGUAUGUAUAUUGUGGAACGGGUAGAAGGCCAAGAAUUUGAUAGUUCUUCGUAUGCAUCAUCGGAGGAGCUAAACUUCUUAAGUGGUUUGGAUUCGGAGGGAUUAAGUGGUAAACUCAAUUAUCCUGAAUAUUAUGUUGGUAGUGAGAAGAGGAAUCCUCAAUUUGAGGUAGGGUUAUUGUUUGCGACGUUUGAGGAAUUAAAAUCUGCAGUGAGGGAUUAUGCGGUAUUCAAUCAAGUUGAACCGAUUUUCAAACGCAAUGAGAAAAAUAGAUUGCAUUGUGUUUGCAAGGAAGGUUGUCCAUGGAAGUUGUGGGCUUCGAAGAUACAAAGUCGAGAAACGGUCCAGAUUAAAACUUAUGAUCCUAGGCACACUUGCUUUAAGGCACGUACAAAUAAGUACGUAACCUAUAAGUGGUUGGCCAAUUACUAUUUGGAUAAUUUCAAAUUCGAUCCUAAUUGGAAGACAAAAAAUAUUAGAGCUACAGUUAGAAAGGAUUUAGGAGUGCACAUUACUAAGGAAGUAGCUUCAAAUGCUAGAAAGUACGCCAAAGUAUUAGUAGAGGGGAGUGAUGAGGAACAAUUUGCGAUGUUAAGAUGCUAUGCUGAGGAAUUAAGGAGAACAAAUCCAGGUUCAACUGUGCUUAUCUCUCAAGUGGAUAAUGUGUUAAGGGGUAUUUAUGGGGUAUUUAUGUUUGCAUAGAGGCAUGUAAGAAGGGUUUUCUGCAGGGGUGUAGACACUUUGUCGGUGUUGAUGGAUAUUUUUUGAAAAGGAAAAUAUGGUGGUCAACUGCUAGCAGCAGUUGGCGUAGAUGCAAAUGAUUGUAUAUACCCGAUUGCAUAUGCAAUUGUGGAAAGGGAGAACACUAGUUCGUGGAGGUGGUUUUUGACGUUGUUGUCUGAAGAUCUUGCUAUAGAAAAUUGACCAUCUGUGACCUUCAUGAGCGAUAGACAAAGGGGAUUAAUUAAUGUUGUUGCUGAAUUAUUUCCAGAAGCCGAAUAUAGAUUUUGUGUCCGACACAUGUAUCAGAAUUUCUUUAGGAGUGACUUUAAGGGUAAGGAAUUGAAAGACUAUUUGUGGGGUGCAGCGAAAUCUAGUCACUUUGCAUCUUUUAAAUAUUGGAUGGCUAAGAUUGAGAGUGCCAAGAAUGAAGCACAUGGAUGGUCGAUGACAAAGUCACCAAACGAAUGGAGUAGAUCUCAUUUUUCAGAUCAGUCGAAGUGUGAGAUGCUCCUUAAUAAUCUUUAUGAAUGUUUCAACAACUUCAUUUUGGAAGAAAGGGAAAAAUCAUUGAUAGAUAUGUUGGUAGGCAUUCAGAUGAAACUCGUGCAUAGAAUUCAGGUAAAGCGAGACAAGUUAAGAUAUUACAACAAACCCAUAUGUGCCAAAAUAUAAAAGAAGUUGGAGAAGUGCUGUGAUGCAGCCCGUGAAUGUAUCUUGAGAUGGAACGGGCUAAACCAAUAUCAAGUUGAGAGUUCAUAUGGAGAAUUUAUUGUGGACAUGGACAGUCGAACGUGUGCCCGUAGGAGAUGUCAGAUUUCUGGCAUUCCAUGUCGACAUGCCAUUGCUUGCAUUUUGGAUAUGGGUCACGAGAUGAGAGAUUACGUCUCCGACUGGUAUAAGGUUGAGACCUACAAGAGCACGUACGAGAAUGUCAUAUAUCCUAUUAAUGGUAAGGCAUUAUGGCCUGAAUGUGCACAUUCCCCUGUUUUGCCUCCCCCUUAGUAUAUUCCUUCAGCAGGAAAAAAAACAAAAAAAGAGAAGAAAAUGACUUGAUGAAGAUGGACAAUCCCAGUCACAGACACAUUCACAAUCACAAUCACAAGUAAGAAAAAAGGGUGUUGUAUACAUGACGUGUUCUAUUUGUGGGGAAAAGGGACAUAACAAAAGGCACCAUAAGUUCGUAGAACCACAAGUUCAUGAAAGCGGAGAGUGGUUAGAUGCAGAUUAGAAGCUGCCAAAGCACCAGCAGGGAUGAAAAUGUGGAUAUCUUUUGGUUUGUAUUUUGUUUGGAAGCAGCCAAGCUAUCUGACAAAUGUCGAAGUUUGUUUUGUAGUAUUUUGGUUGUCCGAUUAUUUAGAAGAUAUGAUAUGAUUUUGUUUGGAGCAAUGUAAUUACACUUGAAUUUAAU
This 2349-nucleotide long non-coding RNA is filed under the name Olea europaea subsp. europaea. The record is from RNAcentral. Lineage: Eukaryota; Viridiplantae; Streptophyta; Magnoliopsida; Lamiales; Oleaceae.